UACGUAGGUGGCAAGCGUUACUCGGAAUCACUAGGCGUAAAGCGCAGGUAGGCGGUUCGGUAAGUCUUUUGUGAAAGCUCCCGGCUUAACUGGGAGAGGUCAAAGGAAACUGCCGGGCUAGAGUGUGGUAGGGGAAACUGGAAUUCCUGGUGUAGCGGUGAAAUGCGUAGAUAUCAGGAGGAACACCUAUGGCGAAAGCAGGUUUCUGGGCCAUCACUGACGCUGAGCUGCGAAAGCUAGGGGAG
Molecule: ribosomal RNA, 245 nt
Filed under: uncultured bacterium
Lineage: Bacteria
Description: partial 16S ribosomal RNA
Rfam family: Bacterial small subunit ribosomal RNA
Source: RNAcentral